CAAUAGCGUAUAUUAUUGAUGUUGCAGUUGAAACGUUCGUAGUCGAACUUUAUCUGCUCCGGCAGCUCUUUCGUCUCAGACGUUGUGCUGGCCUACGGCAGAGAUUGUGCUGCUUCGCUUGCCAUGCUUCAUGGUGGUGUCGCAGCACUGUACUUUGAGUGAAUCGGCGUGUUCCACGCAGGCUAUCGCCUUGAACGAUUUACCAUGGUAUAUCCAGAAUGUGGGAAUACUUCUUUGUCUCUUCGGAGGUAUUUUCGAUAUUCAUAAGAACGGUUGAGGGCAUUCGUAUUCAACUGCCAGAGGUGAAAUUCUUUGAUUAGUUGAGGACGAACUAUUGCGAAAGCAUCUGCCAAGGACGUUUCUUUUGA
RNAcentral lists this ribosomal RNA (368 nucleotides) under uncultured eukaryote. RNAcentral describes it as "partial 18S ribosomal RNA". It matches the Rfam family "Eukaryotic small subunit ribosomal RNA", at positions 592 to 976 of the family's 1831-position model. The record is from RNAcentral.